RNAcentral lists this ribosomal RNA (487 nucleotides) under uncultured bacterium. RNAcentral describes it as "bacterial SSU rRNA". It matches the Rfam family "Bacterial small subunit ribosomal RNA", at positions 30 to 512 of the family's 1533-position model. The record is from RNAcentral.
AUUGAACGCUGGCGGCAUGCCUUACACAUGCAAGUCGAACGGUAACAGGUCUUCGGAUGCUGACGAGUGGCGAACGGGUGAGUAAUAUAUCGGAACGUGCCCAGUCGUGGGGGAUAACGCAGCGAAAGCUGUGCUAAUACCGCAUACGAUCUAUGGAUGAAAGCGGGGGAUCGCAAGACCUCGCGCGAUUGGAGCGGCCGAUAUCAGAUUAGGUAGUUGGUGGGGUAAAGGCCCACCAAGCCAACGAUCCGUAGCUGGUCUGAGAGGAUGAUCAGCCACACUGGAACUGAGACACGGUCCAGACUCCUACGGGAGGCAGCAGUAGGGAAUAUUGGACAAUGGGCGCAAGCCUGAUCCAGCCAUGCCGCGUGAGUGAAGAAGGCCCUCGGGUUGUAAAGCUCUUUUGUCCGGAAAGAAAAGCGCCGGGUUAAUACCCUGGUGUCCUGACGGUACCGGAAGAAUAAGCACCGGCUAACUUCGUGCCAGC